Molecule: long non-coding RNA, 1271 nt
Organism: Helianthus annuus (common sunflower)
Lineage: Eukaryota; Viridiplantae; Streptophyta; Magnoliopsida; Asterales; Asteraceae
Exons: 3
Source: RefSeq, a predicted model, not a curated record
UUUUAAUUUACGACAUUCCGACGAUUUCGGUUAUAAAAACGGGUCUCGUAGAGGAUUACAGGCCACUUAAACACGGGCUUGUGGGCCUUGGGCCCAAGCCCAAAGCCCACUAAACCAAACCUAGCUAUAAAAGGGAAGGUGAAACCCUAACCCUCAUUUUUUUUGUCAGCCGCACAUGCUUGAAGUCCCCCUUGUUCUCUUAUUUGCUCUGCUAAUCAAGAAAUACACACACAAACAUAUGGAGACCAUCUUCUCCAAACCAAGUCCUCAACGACAACCUGCUCUCCUUCUCCAUCUCGUUGAAGAUCGGCCAAGCGACACCCCCCCCAUCUCGAUCUAUACGGCAAAACACACACACACACACACACCUGAAAUCAGAGCCAUAACCAUCUCUAAACACAACCACACCCACACAGAUCUGACUAUAGAGAGAGAGAGAGAGAGCGGCGGAGAAGAACCAACAGCGGCAGCAGCGCCGCCGUCUACGGCGGAGCGACGGAGGAGACAGGCGGCAUCGGUGGUUGAUGUUCCGACAACUCUUCGACACGCCCGGUAAGCGACGAUUUGGUGGAUAUCAACAGCAAUAGUGGCGGCGGAGGUGACGUCCGGUCACCAUGAACGGUUUCCGGCGACUCUCAGGUUCCCUUGAUGACGGAUUUGGGUUCGUGAACGGUCCGAUUCAGAUCAACUUUAGGGUGGUUCGAGUCAGUUUGGUUCAGAUUCGGGACACGAGCGGUUCGGGUUUCAUUUAGAUGGAGUCCAGUUUACGGUUUCACGUCGUUCGAGUUUCGGUUCGACAGUCAAAGCCUGUCAAACUUGGUCAAACAAUCAACGGGUCAGAAUCGGGUUCGGGUCAAAAUUUGUCAACAUCAGAUAUGUGUAGCUUCGGUUCAAGUGUUUAAGUUUGGUUCGGGUUCUUGUUCGGUUCAACUCAGAUCUGGGGUUCAAGUAGUCACAUCAGCAGGAUCGGGUCACGGUUCGGUUCGGUUCAACAAGUCAGACUGCGGGUCAAAGUUAGUCAACCACAGGUCAUGGUUCGUUUCGGUCAGAUUUGAUUUCGGGUCAAACUGAGUCAACUCGGGUCUACAGACAGUCAACGCAGUCAACAACAGUCAAUGAAGACCCGGAAUACUAUAGAUGCACGCUAGCUAAUUCACAUUCUUGGAACGACACUACGGAAACACACUAAGCUAGCAUUGCACAGGAACGUCAAGGUUGCAUUUUUCAAAACUAUGGAACGGUUGGAAUAGGAUAACCCACGGGAUUUCGAG